GAAAUGCGAUAAGUAAUGUGAAUUGCAGAAUUCAGUGAAUCAUCGAAUCUUUGAACGCACAUUGCGCCCGCUAGUAUUCUGGCGGGCAUGCCUGUUCGAGCGUCAUUUCAACCAUCAAGCCCUAGGCUUGUGUUGGGGGCCUUCAGCCGCUGCAGCCCACUAAAAGCAGUGGCGGGCUCGCUGUCAUUCCGAGCGCAGUAGUUACAUCUCGCUCUGGGCGUGGCAACGGGCACUUGCCGUAAAACACUCUUUCUAAGGUUGACCUCGGAUCAGGUAGGAAUACCCGCUGAACUUAAGC
RNAcentral lists this unclassified non-coding RNA (298 nucleotides) under plant metagenome. RNAcentral describes it as "partial contains 5.8S ribosomal RNA, internal transcribed spacer 2, and large subunit ribosomal RNA". The stretch from base 1 to 105 matches the Rfam family "5.8S ribosomal RNA", at positions 50 to 154 of the family's 154-position model. The record is from RNAcentral.